CACACCAUAAACCUUUUGAGCAGUUGCAAUCAGCGUCAKUAUAACAAAUGUAAAUCUUACWACUUUCAACAACGGAUCUCUUGGUUCUGGCWYCSAUGAAGAACGCAGCGAAAUGCGAUACGUAGUGUGAAUUGCAGAAUUCAGUGAAUCAUCGAAUCUUUGAACGCAUUGCGCCCUUUGGUAUUCCAAAGGGCAUGCCUGUUCGAGCGUCAUUUGUACCCUCAAGCUUUGCUUGGUGUUGGGCGUCUUUUGUCUUUGGCCUCGCCCAAAGACUCGCCUUAAAACGAUUGGCAGCCGGCCUACUGGUUUCGCAGCGCAGCACAUUUUUGCGCUUGCAAUCAGCACAAGGACGGCAAUCCAUCAAGACUACAUUUUUACGUUUGACCUCGGAUCAGGUAGGGAUACCCGCUGAACUUAAGCAUAUCAAUAAGCGGAGGA
Molecule: ribosomal RNA, 438 nt
Filed under: Curvularia aeria
Lineage: Eukaryota; Fungi; Ascomycota; Dothideomycetes; Pleosporales; Pleosporaceae
Description: eukaryotic LSU rRNA
Source: RNAcentral